This 1161-nucleotide long non-coding RNA is filed under the name Nicotiana tabacum (common tobacco). Its description in RNAcentral is "long non-coding RNA (NTAB_LNC004950)". Lineage: Eukaryota; Viridiplantae; Streptophyta; Magnoliopsida; Solanales; Solanaceae. The record is from RNAcentral.
AGGAAUAGACCAUCAGUCACUCACACACAUAUCCAUUAGCCUAUUCACUCUAAGAAUUAUCUGAAAGCACAUAGAAAAACUGUUGCAUUUCCUUUCUCUGGCAUUCUUAGCAGAAAAACAAAAAUAUAGUUCCUAGAAAUCCCUAAGAAGUUCUGUUUUCUCUUCAUUCAUUUCUGAUCCUUCUCGAAGAUGAUUCUGGAUUGAAGUUUGAAACUUGUUCUGGGUUUAUUCAUUGCUGCUGUACCUGUUUGGUUGUUGCUAUUUUUGAGCUUGCUGAAUCUAUUUCUCCAGUUUUUUGCCUUUAUUUGGCAUUUACUAUCUCUCAUAGAAGGUAUGUGAAAUUCUUUCCUUGUAACCUUUAUGAAUCUGGAAAUAUAGACUAAACAUGUUGAUAUUGUGCUUAUGGCCUAUUUCAUGUGUUCUAUGAUGUUUGUAGGAUUAAAUUUAUCCAUCUUUGUUCGAUGUCUGAAAUCUGAUUCAUUUUGCCUAAUUCUAAGUUGAAUACACAUGCUAUGUUAACUCAUUAACUAGGCUAAUGUGUUACUUUGUCCACCUAUCUUGAUUUAAGGUUUUUAUUAAAUCAAAUGAGCUCAUAUAAGUUCUUCUUUGGAUGCAUUUGUUGACUUAAGGAUAAAAAUUGAAUUCUUGCUUACUCUUUGCAAAUUUCUGAAGUAAGGCUAAGGGUGUCUGUGGUGCUUUCACUUUUUUUAUUGAAUGAACUUUAAGCUUUUAAUUUCUUUGUUGUGACAAGUAACACAUACGUCCUGAUUAAGUUUAAGUUGACUGAAUUCUUGCUGUGUUGUUCUUUUUGGUAUUAAUGUUGAUUUACACUUGAAGGAAGGGUAAAGAAUGGCCAAGGGAUAAAUCUGACCACCAGUUGGUCAGAUCCGUCUCUGUGGAGUGUCUGGUUCACAAAUUCAUGAGUGGCAGAGCUUGAACAUGUAAUUCUACUGUUUGUUCAUCGCCAGUGCUGAAAGCAAAAGUAUAAGAGUUAGUUUGAAGUCUUAUUCUGAUCAAGUUUGUAAAUAAUGAUUGUAAUUGAUAGAAUGGUUCAUUAACGUAUUUCAAAUUAGUCCAAACUGAUUUCUUAAUGUUCUAAUUAGUUUUAUUUAGCAUAAUGUUGGUUCAAACUGAUAAUGAUAUGAGUUAGUUAGACAUUCU